GCCCGCGUAGCUCAGGGGAUAGAGCAACAGCCUUCUAAGCUGGAGGUCGCAGGUUCGAUUCCUGCCGCGGGUACCA
This 76-nucleotide transfer RNA is filed under the name Candidatus Peregrinibacteria bacterium CG_4_10_14_0_2_um_filter_43_11. RNAcentral describes it as "tRNA-Arg". It matches the Rfam family "tRNA". Rfam says of the family: Transfer RNA (tRNA) molecules are approximately 80 nucleotides in length. Their secondary structure includes four short double-helical elements and three loops (D, anti-codon, and T loops). The record is from RNAcentral. Lineage: Bacteria; Candidatus Peregrinibacteriota.